This 681-nucleotide long non-coding RNA is filed under the name Equus caballus (horse). RNAcentral's name for it is "lncRNA (ENSECAG00000058300.1)". Lineage: Eukaryota; Metazoa; Chordata; Mammalia; Perissodactyla; Equidae. The record is from RNAcentral.
AUUUAGUGGAAGAUCCAGGAUUUGAAUCCCAGUGUGUCUGAAACCAAAGCUAAUAUUCUUUUUACCACACCUCCUGCCUUUCUGUAGAAGUUUCUCCCUCAAUUUCCAUUCACAAGGUACCCCAACACAUAGUUGUAUAUUCUAGUUGUGAGUGCCUCCGAUUGUGCUAUGUGGGACGCUGCCCCAGCAUGACCUGAUGAGCAGUGCCGUGUCCGUGCCCAGGAUCUGAACCGUGAAACCCUGAAACGCCAAAGCCGUGUACCCGAACUUAACCACUCCACCAGAGGGUGGCGGGCCUGGGAACUGGGUGCACACUCUCACAAGUGAACUUCAGGUCUUUUUCAAGAGGUGGAAUCGAUAAAGAGAAAAAGAGGAAGGAAAUGUGGUAGCCAUGAAAAUGUCGUAGGCCGGAUCCAGUGAGCAUAGUUGACAUACAGCCCCUGCUGCUGGCCCUCUGCACCCACCACCACAUCACGCCGAGGCCUCACUUUCCUGAGCCCAGAGAGCCACUGCACAGGUCCAUUCCUGCAGCAUGCAGGCUCCUCCAUCAGGCAUUAGGACUGAUGACUCACCCUCCCUGCUCCUGCUCCCUCCCUUUAUCCUUCACAGGUCCAAGAAAAUGGAUGAGGUUUUGGGACUGACUCCCUCACUGCCCAAGAGGCAAAGAGGAUGGUCACAUCU